This 493-nucleotide ribosomal RNA is filed under the name uncultured bacterium. RNAcentral describes it as "bacterial SSU rRNA". It matches the Rfam family "Bacterial small subunit ribosomal RNA", at positions 23 to 507 of the family's 1533-position model. The record is from RNAcentral.
CUCAGAGUGAACGCUGGCGGCAGGCCUAAUACAUGCAAGUCGAACGGCAGCACAGCAGAGCUUGCUCUGUGGGUGGCGAGUGGCGGACGGGUGAGGAAUACGUGGGAAUCUGCCCAGUCGUGGGGAUAACGUAGGGAAACUUACGCUAAUACCGCAUGCGCCCUUCGGGGGAAAGCCGGGGACCUUCGGGCCUGGCGCGAUUGGAUGAGCCCACGUCGGAUUAGCUAGUUGGCGGGUAAAGGCCCACCAAGGCGACGAUCCGUAGCUGGUCUGAGAGGAUGAUCAGCCACACUGGAACUGAGACACGGUCCAGACUCCUACGGGAGGCAGCAGUAGGGAAUAUUGGACAAUGGGCGCAAGCCUGAUCCAGCCAUGCCGCGUGAGUGAAGAAGGCCCUCGGGUUGUAAAGCUCUUUUGUCCGGAAAGAAAAGCGCCGGGUUAAUACCCUGGUGUCCUGACGGUACCGGAAGAAUAAGCACCGGCUAACUUCGUG